RNAcentral lists this small nuclear RNA (108 nucleotides) under Prolemur simus (greater bamboo lemur). The record is from RNAcentral. Lineage: Eukaryota; Metazoa; Chordata; Mammalia; Primates; Lemuridae.
GUGCUCGCUUUGGAAGCACAUAUACUGAAAUUGGAAUGGUACAAAGAAGAUUAGCAUGGCCCCUGCGCAAGGAUGACAUGAAAAUAUUAAAAAAUAAAUAAAAUAAAU